GUGGAAAGCGGCGGACGGGUGAGUAACGCGUAGGCAACCUGCCCUUUGCAGAGGGAUAGCCUCGGGAAACCGGGAUUAAAACCUCAUAAUACCGCAGUGAGACAUCUCACGGCGGUCAAAGAUUUAUCGGCAAAGGAUGGGCCUGCGUCUGAUUAGUUAGUUGGUGGGGUAACGGCCUACCAAGGCGACGAUCAGUAGCCGACCUGAGAGGGUGAUCGGCCACAUUGGAACUGAGACACGGUCCAAACUCC
Molecule: ribosomal RNA, 251 nt
Filed under: uncultured Anaerovorax sp.
Lineage: Bacteria; Bacillati; Bacillota; Clostridia; Peptostreptococcales; Anaerovoracaceae
Description: partial 16S ribosomal RNA
Rfam family: Bacterial small subunit ribosomal RNA
Source: RNAcentral